GAUGAACGCUGACAGAAUGCUUAACACAUGCAAGUCCACUUGAAUUUGGGUUUUUUAACUUAGUUCUGGGUGGCGGACGGGUGAGUAACGCGUAAAGAACUUGCCUCACAGCUAGGGACAACAUUUGGAAACGAAUGCUAAUACCUGAUAUUAUGAUUAUAAGGCAUCUUAGAAUUAUGAAAGCUAUAUGCGCUGUGAGAGAGCUUUGCGUCCCAUUAGCUAGUUGGAGAGGUAACGGCUCACCAAGGCGAUGAUGGGUAGCCGGCCUGAGAGGGUGAACGGCCACAAGGGGACGGAGACACGGCCCUUACUCCUACGGGAGGCAGCGGUGGGGAAUAUUGGACAAGGGACCAAGAGUCUGAUCCAGAAAUUCUGUGUGCACGAUGACGUUUUUCGGAAUGUAAAGUGCUUUCAGUUGGGAAGAAAAGAAUGACGGUACCAACAGAAGAAGUAACGGCUAAAUACGUG
RNAcentral lists this ribosomal RNA (468 nucleotides) under uncultured bacterium. RNAcentral describes it as "partial 16S ribosomal RNA". It matches the Rfam family "Bacterial small subunit ribosomal RNA", at positions 28 to 507 of the family's 1533-position model. The record is from RNAcentral.